GAUGAACGCUGGCGGCGUGCCUAAUACAUGCAAGUCGAGCGAACGGACGAGAAGCUUGCUUCACUGAUGUUAGCGGCGGACGGGUGAGUAACACGUGGAUAACCUCCCUAUAAGACUGGGAUAACUUCGGGAAACCGGAGUUAAUACCGGUUAAUAUUUUGAACCGCAUGGUUCAAAAGUGAAAGACGGUCUUGCUGUCACUUAUUGAUGGAUCCGCGCUGCAUUAGCUAGUUGGUAAGGUAAAGGGUUUCCAAGGCAACGAUGCAUUGCCGACCUGGGAGGGGGGUCGGCCACGCUGAAACGGAGACACGGCCCAGGCUCCUACGGGAGGCAACAGUAGGGAAUCUUCCACAAUGCGCGGAAGCCUGACGUAACAACGCCGCGUGGGGUAUGAGGGGCUUCCGAUCGUAAAACUCUGUUAUUAGGGAAGAACAUAUGUGUAAGGAACUGUGCACAUCUUGACGGUACCUAAGCAGAAAGCCACGGCUAACUACGUG
This 497-nucleotide ribosomal RNA is filed under the name uncultured bacterium. RNAcentral's name for it is "partial 16S ribosomal RNA". It matches the Rfam family "Bacterial small subunit ribosomal RNA", at positions 28 to 507 of the family's 1533-position model. The record is from RNAcentral.